AUAAACUUUAAAUAUCAUCAAUAAGAUGGAGUGUAUAGGGUCUGGAUAGUCCAUGUUACUAAUGUGUAUAGGAAAGCUAAUCGCAUAGUGAAUGGAUUUGCAAACUAUGCGUUUUAAUUACUGCUUGGUCUACAUUUAUUUGAUAUUUAUCCAACAGUUGUAAAUCCGACAUUGUUAGAGGAUACAUAUGGAAUGUCGUUUCCACAGAGUGUCCGAGUUAGUUUUUAUGUUAUGAAUAAAUCAUAGGGGCCAUGUGCCCCCUAUACAUUACCAAAAAAAAGAUCAAGUGUAUAAAAUAACAAGAUUGUUUAAUAUGAUGAAAUAUAUAGUUAAAAUGUAUAGUAAAAUUGAAUGUUGUAUGAUUGAAAUUUUAUUUAAUACAAAAAUUACUAAAUUAAAUAUUAGAAAAAAUGUGUGGAUCAAUAUUUACUUUA
Molecule: small RNA, 434 nt
Filed under: Arabidopsis thaliana (thale cress)
Lineage: Eukaryota; Viridiplantae; Streptophyta; Magnoliopsida; Brassicales; Brassicaceae
Description: ATSL045400
Source: RNAcentral